UAAUAGUAGUGCUGUCAAGCAGGAUGGUGUUGUGAAGAAAACAGUUAAGAGGAAAAUAAUUAAGAGGGUUCCCAAACGAAAAGCAGCAUCUACAGAGUCCAACAAUGUGGUCAGUGGUGUUGAUAGUGUCAAAGAUGAUCUGAAAGAGGAGAAGUCAGUUCAAGCUGAAAGUGAGGUGCAAAAUGUUGGUCAGUGGUGUUGAUAGUAUCAAAGAUGAUGUGAUAGAGGAGAAGUCAGUUCAAGCUGAAAGUGAGGUGCAAAAUGUGGGUGAUGAUAAUGUAGAAAAUACAGAAAAUAUGAAUGUGGUCAAACAAGAACAGAAGG
RNAcentral lists this long non-coding RNA (324 nucleotides) under Nicotiana benthamiana. RNAcentral's name for it is "long non-coding RNA (NBEN_LNC020233)". The record is from RNAcentral. Lineage: Eukaryota; Viridiplantae; Streptophyta; Magnoliopsida; Solanales; Solanaceae.